RNAcentral lists this ribosomal RNA (253 nucleotides) under uncultured bacterium. Its description in RNAcentral is "partial 16S ribosomal RNA". It matches the Rfam family "Bacterial small subunit ribosomal RNA", at positions 524 to 776 of the family's 1533-position model. The record is from RNAcentral.
UACGAAGGGGGCUAGCGUUGUUCGGAAUUACUGGGCGUAAAGCGCACGUAGGCGGACUGCCAAGUCAGGGGUGAAAUCCCGGGGCUCAACCUCGGAACUGCCUCUGAUACUGUCAGUCUAGAGUCCGGGAGAGGUGGGUGGAAUUCCUAGUGUAGAGGUGAAAUUCGCAGAUAUUAGGAGGAACACCGGUGGCGAAGGCGACGCACUGGACCGGUACUGACGCUGAGGUGCGAAAGUGUGGGGAGCAAACAGG